This 492-nucleotide ribosomal RNA is filed under the name Triticum aestivum (bread wheat). RNAcentral describes it as "partial small subunit ribosomal RNA". Lineage: Eukaryota; Viridiplantae; Streptophyta; Magnoliopsida; Poales; Poaceae. The record is from RNAcentral.
AUGCGAAAGUCGAUGGGGACGCAGUGCACGGUCUUCAGUACGUUGGCGAAGAUGCCGCUGCACCGUGAUCGAAGUUUCCGAAGUAGCAAAAGUGUCGAGGAAGUGCAACCUUUCUGUCUAGGCCGGAAGUUCCGGGCCAGACGGAAGUUCCGGGGGCCGGAAGUUCCGGGCGAGGCAGGAAGUUCCAGGGGUCGGGAAUCUGCCAAGAACAGAGAGUACGAGAUCGUGGAUUUGGGCGGAAAAACUUGGGAAAAACCCAAAUCCGAGGGGAAAAAGAAGAAAUUAGAAGGAAGGGAGGGCAGGGAAGCUAGAUCCACUCGAAACAAAGCAAAUCCAUGGAUCAAAUCCAACCAAAUCUCAACUCACCAACAAAUCACAAAAAAAUUUGGGGCUAUUUUUGGUGGGGAAUUUUCAGAAUUAGGACGAAAACAACAAAAUCAAGCUAGAAAACACGGGGUAGGGGCUCCAAAAUGUGAUCAACAUGGCUCAUGA